GCAAUAUGAUAAAAUUGAAAAAUUUCACAAAUGUCAGGAGAACAAGAUCUGGUGUCUGGGUUUCAACUCUUAGAGCUUCCCAGCUCGUAGCUAUGCUCCUGAAUUCCUCUGGCAGCCCUCCUCAAGGACCUCUGUGAGACAAAGUCAGAAAUGACUUCACUGGAGACCAAGAGAGCCCACAGAGCUCUUCCUGCUGCUUCUUCUACCCUUGUACUCACUCGGCUCUCUAAAUUUGUCUCAGCUCCAGCCAUGUAAAACAUGCUUGCUUCCCCUUCACCUACUGCCAUGAUUGUCAGUUUCCUGAGAUCUUCCUCCCAGAAGCUUUUACUCUGUACAGAAGCCUGUACAGCCUGCAGAACCGUGAGCUAACUAAACCUCUUUUCAUUAUAAAUUACCCAGUCUCGGGUAUGUCUUUAUAGCAAUGUGAGAAUGGACUAAUACACACACACUCCUAUUUUAUCUUCUCUAACUUUCCCCCUUCCCCACAUGUCUCCAGCCACAUUGUCUCAUUAUAGCUCUUCAAACUCACCAAACACCCUCCUGCCUCUGAGCCUUUGCACUAGCUAUUCCCUCUGCCUGGAACACUUUUCACUCAUUUAAUAAAAUGGUUCAUUCUCUCACUUCCAUCUGAUGUAUAUCCAAAUGUUUUCU
Molecule: long non-coding RNA, 651 nt
Filed under: Homo sapiens (human)
Lineage: Eukaryota; Metazoa; Chordata; Mammalia; Primates; Hominidae
Description: non-protein coding lnc-SPATA31D1-4:38
Source: RNAcentral